Molecule: unclassified non-coding RNA, 215 nt
Filed under: Hevea brasiliensis (rubber tree)
Lineage: Eukaryota; Viridiplantae; Streptophyta; Magnoliopsida; Malpighiales; Euphorbiaceae
Source: RNAcentral
GAAAAGCAAUGGAAGAAUCACGAACAGUCAAAAAAGCACAGGGAGAAGGUUGCAGAGUUCAAAGAAUCACUAGAGGAUGAGGAUGAAUCUGAAGAAUUUGUUGAUGAAGGAGAAGGUGAAGAAGAAACAACACUGCUGGAUGAUGAGGUAGAUAAACUAGGGGAGGAGCUCAAGGAAAGUUUUGAUAUUGAGGAAGCAAAAAUUGAAAGUGGAGG